UUUACUCCUAUAUUCCUUCACACGCUUUCUCCAAAAGUCUUCAUCUCUCUUCAAUCAAUUCAACCUAAAAUUACUGAGAUCCUUUCCUUCUUCAUUUGAAUUUCAACUAAAGAACCCUAACUUAUCUCUGCUCUGCAGUCUUCUACAUUUUCGACUUCGUGUAUGGCGAUUUCAUCUACCUAUUUCAUCUUCUCAGCCAUUCCAUUGAGAAACCCUAAUUUCAGUUUCAUCUCUAACUCUUGAUUAUGUUCCUACGAAACCCUAACCAUAGGCACCAUCACGCUGCUGACAAAGAACUUGAACACUACGACUUUCAUGGGUGGUGAUUUCUAGAUUUAGGAUGACGGUUCAUUUUUUGGCUUUUGCCAAUCGUCUCUCGAAUGACAGUUCUGUUGGCAAGAGAGAAUGAAGGUUUUUGGGUUUCUAUUGAACUUGAGGGUUGUUUGUUUUCGAUGAUGCAAUCAAUUUUGGAUUUAUAUGUUGUUCACACCAUUGCAAGGUCAAGAAUUUUCAUCGGAUGGAUUUGUUGUUAAAAGCUCAAUGGGUAGAACAAGCAGAGCAAUAUUUCAACAGCCUUCCAGAUGAUGUCAAUAAGCUCCAAGUUUACAGUGCUCUUUUGAAUUGUUAUGCAGCCACAAAAUCAGUAGAAAAAGCCGAAGCUACUGCAGAGAAAAUGAAGCAAUCACCUCCUUCAACUAGACCAUGGAUUCUCAUCUUCAUCUUCAAGUGUGAAAUCAUGGGGAACUUGCUUUGUUUGGUUCAAGUAGAUCAAUCUACUGAUGCUAUAGAGGAAAAUUUUGGGAAGUUUGAUGAUGUUCUUGAGCCGGGCUGCAUUACGUGCCGUGGAUAUUUGAAAGUCGGCUUGCUAGACAUCUUACUCUUAGGUUUCAGCAGUUGGAUGUCAAGUGUGAGACCAAAACAAAGAUAUACUUGAGUGUCGAGCGGAAGCGAUUGCUGAACAAGUAUAAAAUUGAGAUCUCUGUUGAGGAGUAACUUCUACAUCAUUGCCUAUACCGUUGGGGUUUUUGUAGAUUGGUACCAGGUCCCUCAUUCGCCAUGCUCAUGAUGGUUACAAUGUUUGCAUCUUUGCAUAUGGUCCAACUGGAUUUAAUAAAAACGCAUACAAUGGAAAUCAUUCUUUAAGCAAUAAUGUCGAGACUCUAUAUUUUUGCUUACAAACUCUGAUAGGGAAGAUUGUAUUGAAGACAUUUCACAAAUCAUAAAGUCCUACCUUAAGUUAGAACCCCAGCUAUUGCUACAAUCUCUUACACUAUGUGCUCAGCUGAUCAAGCUCUCUUCCAAUGUGUAAUAUAACUAUUCUCCUGCUCUAACCCUUUGCAUCAGGACCAUACAAUGGCAUCUAAAAGAAUCUUGAUAUAAAGGGACAUUGAUUCGCGAGUGAUAGUGGUUAUAUAUGUGUAUGUAGCAGUUUUUAAACGGAGGGACUCAGACUAAAAAGAGUUAUGAUCUAAGCUUAAGGGGUGUUGUGAAAUGCAGCUAUAAGGCAACAUGGGGAAAAGUCACUUCCUCCCAUUUAUAUGAAGAAUUCUAUGAUUUAUGGAUCGUUAGUGUCAUCUUCAUCUCUUAGGUCAAGUACUGUUCAGAGAAUAACAAGCGGCUUAUUCACUUUUCCACUUGUGAAGUAUAUGGGAAAACCAUCGGUAGCUUUCUUCCCCAAGACAGCCCUCUACGACAGGAUCCUGCGUACUAUAUUCUCAAAGAAGACACAUCCCCUUGCAUUUUUGGCUCAAUCGAGAAACAACGAUGGUCUUAUGCAUGUGCAAAACAGUUAAUUGAGAGGUUCAUCUAUGCCGAGGGUGCUGAGAAUGGUUUUGAGAAUGCUUUUAUCGGUAAUUUUAAUAUCAUGCAGUACUUAUAUAUAUGCAUAUAUAAAACGUAAAACAUCUAUCUCUUAUACUAAAGCAAAAUAUUGUUGACUUUUUGACCUUUGAUGUGGCAAUGCUCUUUGGCCAGAUAGUUUUUUUUUUGGGCGGCAUUUUCCUUUCUCUCAUUUCUUAUUCAAUUUCACGAGCGCCUAAUUCUCAGUCAAUAGCUCUUUCCCUCAUUCUCUCUUCUUUCCAAAAUCACUUCAAAGAAACCCUAAAACCAUUUGUCUGUCGUUCAAGCAACAAGGUCAGUUUUCUUUUGUCUUUUGGUUUACAUGAUUCUCCUAUCUUAAUGCUUUCAUUAUAUUUAAUUUUGUAAAAGAGAAACAAGAAAGAGAUGGGGCAGAUGAGAGACGCAGACGGGAGAUGGUCAUCUUCUCCAAUGACUGGUGUCAGCGAUAGGGCUUUCUUAGUAGCCAGCGACGGCGGUGGUUCCAAAGUGGUUGUUGUUGUUGUCAUCGGUGGUCAGCAAAGGGUGAGAUCUGUCUUCCAACGGCUAGGGUUCCGCCAUGAAUCACUGGCGGCAACGAACAUUGAUUAUUGACAUAGUCCAGUCGAUAUCAAUUUCAUGCUCUGUGACUCUGAGUUUCCAAUUGAAGGAACAAAAUGGCACUUUAGUUCCAAGAAGCUUGAAGAGAUAUUAGCAAAACUGAUUCACUGGUGGUGAGAAUUCGAAGUUUAAUCAUCUAAACAAGAUCCAUUCCUGCAGUAGCCAGUGAAGUUAUUGGCAAACUACCAAAGGAAAAAAUGGUGGAUGGAGAUCAACUGAAACUGGACAUAUAAUUGUUACUACAGUUGGAGGUAGAAAUGGUCCCGAAGACGGUAUUCUACAAUCUCUUUUAAAGGAACCACUAAGUUUGUUGAUGAAUCUACUUUGGAAAUCAGUUGGAGGUAGAAAUGGUCCCGAAGACGGUAUUCUACGUCAUACGAUCCAAUGAAGCUUGCGCUAUGUAUGAGAAGCUGCAGUCUCACCCAAAUGUGGGCAUGAGCAAUAAAGCGUGGCAGUUUGUGUUCAGCUUCCAAAUGUCUUCAAAGUUUUUUUUUUAUUAUUAUAAGUUUAUUACAAAUUCAGCUAAAUGAUGUUUACAAAUGUCUUCUUAAAUUGAAAUGGGAUGGUAACUUACUGUAUAUUAGGCAACUUAUAUGUAUAUUUUAGAAAUCUAAUUUUAAGUUGAUACACCAUGAGUUUUCAUAUAUUCAAGCGCAAAAUAUAGUGGUAUGUUGUGAUUUAGUUCCGACAUGCUUCAUAAUGCUUUAUGUUACCUUUUCAUUCUA
Long non-coding RNA from Helianthus annuus (common sunflower), 3161 nucleotides. RefSeq lists it as uncharacterized. The record is from RefSeq and is a predicted model, not a curated record. Lineage: Eukaryota; Viridiplantae; Streptophyta; Magnoliopsida; Asterales; Asteraceae. The transcript has 14 exons.